RNAcentral lists this ribosomal RNA (465 nucleotides) under uncultured bacterium. RNAcentral's name for it is "partial 16S ribosomal RNA". It matches the Rfam family "Bacterial small subunit ribosomal RNA", at positions 338 to 795 of the family's 1533-position model. The record is from RNAcentral.
CCUACGGGUGGCAGCAGUGGGGAAUAUUGCGCAAUGGGCGAAAGCCUGACGCAGCGACGCCGCGUGAGGGAUGAAGGUCUUCGGAUUGUAAACCUCUGUCAGCAGGGAAGAACGGUCACUGUGCUAAUCAGCAGUGAAUUGACGGUACCUUCACAGAAAGCGCUGGCUAACUCCGUGCCAGCAGCCGCGGUAAUACGAAGGGUGCGAGCGUUAAUCGGAAUUAUUGGGCGUAAAGCGGUCGUAGGCGGUAUGUCAAGUCAAGGGUUAAAUCCCCGAGCUCAACGUGGGAACUGCUUUUGAAACUGGCAAACUAGAGUGUGUGAGAGGAUAGCGGAAUUCCAGGUGAAGGGGUGAAAUCCGUAGAUAUCUGGAGGAACAUCAGUGGCGAAGGCGACUAUCUGGCACAAAACUGACGCUGAGGGGCGAAAGCGUGGGGAGCAAACAGGAUUAGAUACCCCAGUAGUC